UCGGCUUAGAGUUUGAUCAUGGCUCAGAUUGAACGCUGGCGGCAGGCUUAACACAUGCAAGUCGAACGGUAAAGUAGCUUGCUACUUACGAGUGGCGGACGGGUGAGUAACGUAUGGGAAUUUACCGAAUGGAGGGGGACAACAGUUGGAAACGGCUGCUAAUACCGCAUAACGUUGAGAGACCAAAGGGUUUCGACUUGCCAUUUGAUGAGCCCAUAUGAGAUUAGCUAGUUGGUGUGGUAAUGGCUCACCAAGGCGACGAUCUCUAGCUGGUUUGAGAGGAUGACCAGCCACACUGGGACUGAGACACGGCCCAGACUCCUACGGGAGGCAGCAGUGGGGAAUAUUGCACAAUGGGGGGAACCCUGAUGCAGCCAUGCCGCGUGUAUGAAGAAGGCCUUAGGGUUGUAAAGUACUUUCGUGGAGGAGGAAGGGUUUACGUAAUCGUGGACAUUGACGUUACUCCAAGAAGAAGCACCGGCUAACUCCGUGCCAGCAGCCGCGGUAAUA
This 510-nucleotide ribosomal RNA is filed under the name uncultured Enterobacteriaceae bacterium. Its description in RNAcentral is "bacterial SSU rRNA". It matches the Rfam family "Bacterial small subunit ribosomal RNA", at positions 1 to 525 of the family's 1533-position model. The record is from RNAcentral. Lineage: Bacteria; Pseudomonadati; Pseudomonadota; Gammaproteobacteria; Enterobacterales; Enterobacteriaceae.